UACCGGCAGCUUGACAUUACCUUUAGAAGAAGCACCGGCUAACUCCGUGCCAGCAGCCGCGGUAAUACGGAGGGUGCAAGCGUUAAUCGGAAUUACUGGGCGUAAAGCGUGCGUAGGCGGUUCGUUAAGUCAGAUGUGAAAGCCCCGGGCUUAACCUGGGAACUGCAUUUGAAACUGGCGGACUUGAGUUGAGUAGAGGGGAGUGGAAUUUCAGGUGUAGCGGUGAAAUGCGUAGAUAUCUGAAGGAACACCAGUGGCGAAGGCGACUCCCUGGACUCAAACUGACGCUGAGGUACGAAAGCGUGGGUAGCAAACAGGAUUAGAUACCCUGGUAGUCCACGCUGUAAACGAUGUCAACUAGCCGUUGGUCCUAUUUACAGGAUUAGUGGCGCAGCUAACGCAUUAAGUUGACCGCCUGGGGAGUACGGCCGCAAGGUUAAAACUCAAAUGAAUUGACGGG
RNAcentral lists this ribosomal RNA (460 nucleotides) under uncultured bacterium. RNAcentral describes it as "bacterial SSU rRNA". It matches the Rfam family "Bacterial small subunit ribosomal RNA", at positions 459 to 917 of the family's 1533-position model. The record is from RNAcentral.